RNAcentral lists this ribosomal RNA (117 nucleotides) under Enterobacter cloacae. Lineage: Bacteria; Pseudomonadati; Pseudomonadota; Gammaproteobacteria; Enterobacterales; Enterobacteriaceae. The record is from RNAcentral.
GCUGGCAGCUUUAGCGCUGUGGUCCCAUCUGACUCCAUGCCGGAACUCAGAAGUGAAACGCCGUAGCGCCGAUGGUAGUGUGGGGUCUCCCCAUGUGAGAGUAGGGAACUGCCAGGC